This 482-nucleotide ribosomal RNA is filed under the name uncultured bacterium. RNAcentral describes it as "partial 16S ribosomal RNA". It matches the Rfam family "Bacterial small subunit ribosomal RNA", at positions 28 to 523 of the family's 1533-position model. The record is from RNAcentral.
GACGAACGCUGGCGGCGUGCUUAACACAUGCAAGUCGAACGAUGAAGCCGGAGCUUGCUCUGGUGAAUUAGUGGCGAACGGGUGAGUAACACGUGAGUAACCUGCCCUUGACUCUGGGAUAACUGCUAGAAAUGGUAGCUAAUACCGGAUACGACCCUCGGAGGCAUCUUCAGGGGGUGGAAAGAAUUUCGGUCAAGGAUGGACUCGCGGCCUAUCAGCUAGUUGGUGAGGUAAUGGCUCACCAAGGCGACGACGGGUAGCCGGCCUGAGAGGGUGACCGGCCACACUGGGACUGAGACACGGCCCAGACUCCUACGGGAGGCAGCAGUGGGGAAUAUUGCACAAUGGGCGCAAGCCUGAUGCAGCAACGCCGCGUGAGGGAUGACGGCCUUCGGGUUGUAAACCUCUUAGUAGGGAAGAAGCGAAAGUGACGGUACCUGCAGAAAAAGCACCGGCUAACUACGUGCCAGCAGCCGCCGUAA